UUGACGGGGCCCGCACAAGCGGAGGAACAUGUGGUUUAAUUCGAUGAUACGCGAGGAACCUUACCUGGGCUUAAAUGGGAGUGACAGCGGGUGAAAGCCGGUUUUCUUCGGACACUCUUCAAGGUGCUGCAUGGUUGUCGUCAGCUCGUGCCGUGAGGUGUCGGGUUAAGUCCCAUAACGAGCGCAACCCCUACUGUUAGUUGCCAGCGAGUAAUUUCGGGAACUCUAGCGGGACUGCCACCGUAAGGUGAGAGGAAGGUGGGGAUGACGUCAAAUCAGCACGGCCCUUAUGUCCAGGGCUACACACGUGUUACAAUGGCCGGUACAAAGGGCAGCUACACCGCGAGGUGAUGCUAAUCUCGAAAGCCGGUCUCAGUUCGGAUCGAAGUCUGCAACCCGACUUCGUGAAGUUGGAUUCGCUAGUAAUCGCGGAUCAGCAUGCCGCGGUGAAUACGUUCCCGGGCCUU
Molecule: ribosomal RNA, 467 nt
Filed under: uncultured Sphingobacteriales bacterium
Lineage: Bacteria; Pseudomonadati; Bacteroidota; Sphingobacteriia; Sphingobacteriales
Description: bacterial SSU rRNA
Rfam family: Bacterial small subunit ribosomal RNA
Source: RNAcentral